AAACCAUGUUAUGGGCAUAAAUUGACAAGAUCCUUAAACCGCUCCUGACAUUUGAAGAAUGUUUCAUCUUCCUUUUGGGCAAAGUUCAUGAUUGAUUUUCUAAAUGU
Magnolia sinica is the source of this 107-nucleotide small nucleolar RNA. The record is from RefSeq and is a predicted model, not a curated record. NCBI's taxonomy places the organism in Eukaryota, Viridiplantae, Streptophyta, Magnoliopsida, Magnoliales, Magnoliaceae.